Molecule: ribosomal RNA, 405 nt
Filed under: uncultured bacterium
Lineage: Bacteria
Description: partial 16S ribosomal RNA
Rfam family: Bacterial small subunit ribosomal RNA
Source: RNAcentral
GACGAACGCUGGCGGCGUGCUUAACACAUGCAAGUCGAGCGGAGCGGCGAACGGGUGAGUAACGCGUGAGUAACUUCCCCCCUCCCUGGGAUAACAGUUGGAAACGGCUGCUAAUACCGGUAAGUGGGGGAUGACUCGCGUCCUAUCAGCUUUGUGGUGGGGUAGUGGCCUACCAAUGCGACGACGGGUAGCCGGACUGGGAGGGCGACCGGGCACAUAGGGCUGGGAUACGGCCCAAACGCCGACGGGGGGCAGCAGUGGGGAGUAUUGAACAAUGGGGGAAACCCUGAUGCAGCAGCGCCGCGUGCGGGAGGACGUCCUUCGGGUUGUAAACCGAUUUCAGCCAUGACGCGGUAGUGGCAGAAGAAGCACCGGCUAACUACGUGCCAGCAGCCGCGGUAAUUC